This 253-nucleotide ribosomal RNA is filed under the name uncultured bacterium. RNAcentral's name for it is "partial 16S ribosomal RNA". It matches the Rfam family "Bacterial small subunit ribosomal RNA", at positions 524 to 776 of the family's 1533-position model. The record is from RNAcentral.
UACAGAGGUGGCAAGCGUUGUUCGGAAUUACUGGGCGUAAAGGGCGCGUAGGCGGCUUGGUCAGUCCCGUGUGAAAUCCCUCGGCUCAACUGAGGAACUGCACGGGAAACUGCCUGGCUUGAGUUCGGGAGAGGGAAGCGGAAUUCCGGGUGUAGCGGUGAAAUGCGUAGAUAUCCGGAGGAACACCGGUGGCGAAGGCAGCUUCCUGGACCGACACUGACGCUGAGGCGCGAAAGCUAGGGGAGCAAACGGG